AAAAUAGCUACCACAUCCAAGGAAGGCAGCAGGCGCGCAAAUUACCCACUCCCGAAACGGGGAGGUAGUGACGAUAAAUAACGAUGCGGGACUCAAUCGAGGCCCCGUAAUUGGAAUGAGUACACUUUAAAUCCUUUAACGAGGAUCAAUUGGAGGGCAAGUCUGGUGCCAGCAGCCGCGGUAAUUCCGGCUCCAAUAGCGUAUAUUAAAGUUGUUGCAGUUAAAAAGCUCGUAGUUGGAUCUCAGGAUUUGGAUGGAUGGUUCGCUUUCGGGCGCUACUAUCUGUCUGACCUACUCUAGUCGUGGAUGCCUUGGGUGCUCUUAAUUGAGUGCUUUUGGUGCCCGACGCAAUUACUUUGAAAAAAUUAGAGUGCUCAAAGCAGGCGUAUUGCCUGAAUAGUGUUGCAUGGAAUAAUGAAAUAGGAGUUUACUUCUAUUUUGUUGGUUUUCGGAGGUGAACUAAUGAUUAACAGGGACAGACGGGGGCAUUUGUAUGGAGGGGUUAGAGGUGAAAUUCUUGGAUCCUCUCCAGACAAACUACUGCGAAAGCAUUUGCCAGGAAUGUUUUCACUAAUCAAGAACGAAAGUCAGAGGUUCGAAGACGAUCAGAUACCGUCCUAGUUCUGACCAUAAAUGAUGCCAUCUAACAAUCCACGAAGUUUGCUUGUACGAACUCGUGGGCGGUCCCCGGGAAACCAAAGAUUUUGGGUUCCGGGGGAAGUAUGGUUGCAAAGCUGAAACUUAAAGGAAUUGACGGAAGGGCACCACCAGGAGUGGAGCCUGCGGCUUAAUUUGACCCAACACGGGAAACCUCACCCGGCCCGGACACUUUUAGGAUUGACAGAUUGAAGGCUCUUUCUUGAUCAAGUGGUUGGUGGUGCAUGGCCGUUCUUAGUUGGUGGAGCGAUUUGUCUGGUUAAUUCCGAUAACGAACGAGACUCUACUCUGCUAAAUAGAACGUUGAUAUAUAAAAGUCAGUGCUGACUUCUUAGAGAGACUAACGGCGUUUAGCCGUGUGAGAAAGAGCAAUAACAGGUCUGUGAUGCCCUUAGAUGUCCGGGGCCGCACGCGCGCUACACUGACUGCAGCAACUAGUAUGCUCCUGGUUUGAAAAAACUGGGUAACCUGGUUGAAUUGCAGGCGUGACAGGGAUCAGAGUUUGCAAUUAUCCUCUGUGAACGAGGAAUUCCCAGUAAGCGCAUGUCAUUAGCUUGUGCUGAUUACGUCCCUGCCCUUUGUACACACCGCCCGUCGCUACUACCGAUUGAAUGGUUUAGUGAGGUCUUCGGAUUGGUGCUGAUGGAGUGGUUCUCUGCUCUGUUAGUGCCGAGAAGAUGAUCAAACUUGAUCAUUUAGAGGAAGUAAAAGUCGUAACAAGGUU
This 1381-nucleotide ribosomal RNA is filed under the name metagenome. RNAcentral describes it as "SSU rRNA". It matches the Rfam family "Eukaryotic small subunit ribosomal RNA", at positions 400 to 1801 of the family's 1831-position model. The record is from RNAcentral.